Molecule: ribosomal RNA, 253 nt
Filed under: uncultured bacterium
Lineage: Bacteria
Description: partial 16S ribosomal RNA
Rfam family: Bacterial small subunit ribosomal RNA
Source: RNAcentral
UACGUAGGGGGCUAGCGUUGUCCGGAAUCAUUGGGCGUAAAGCGCGUGUAGGCGGUCCGGUAAGUCCGUUGUGAAAUCUCCCGGCUUAACUGGGAGGGUGCAGCGGAAACUAGAAUGCUAGAGGGUGGGAGAGGUAAGCGGAAUUCCUGGUGUAGCGGUGAAAUGCGUAGAUAUCAGGAGGAACACCUGUGGUGUAGACAGCUUACUGGACCACUUCUGACGCUGAGACACGAAAGCGUGGGUAGCAAACAGG